UACGUAGGGUGCGAGCGUUAAUCGGAAUUACUGGGCGUAAAGCGUGCGCAGGCGGGCUUUUAAGCCAGACGUGAAAUCCCCGGGCUUAACCUGGGAAUGGCGUUUGGGACUGGAAGUCUGGAGUGCGGCAGAGGAGACUGGAAUUCCUGGUGUAGCAGUGAAAUGCGUAGAUAUCAGGAGGAACACCAAUAGCGAAGGCAGCUCGCUGGGACGUUACUGACACUGAGGCGCGAAAGCGUGGGGAGCGAACAGG
RNAcentral lists this ribosomal RNA (253 nucleotides) under uncultured bacterium. RNAcentral describes it as "partial 16S ribosomal RNA". It matches the Rfam family "Bacterial small subunit ribosomal RNA", at positions 524 to 776 of the family's 1533-position model. The record is from RNAcentral.